Molecule: ribosomal RNA, 301 nt
Filed under: uncultured bacterium
Lineage: Bacteria
Description: partial 16S ribosomal RNA
Rfam family: Bacterial small subunit ribosomal RNA
Source: RNAcentral
CAGCCGCCGCGGGAAUACGAAGGGGGCUAGCGUUGCUCGGAAUGACUGGGCGUAAAGGGCGCGUAGGCGGCUUGUAUAGUCAGAUGUGAAAUUCCUGGGCUCAACCUGGGGACUUCAUUUGAUACGUGCAGGCUUGAGUGUGGAAGAGGGUCGUGGAAUUCCCAGUGUAGUGGUGAAAUUCGUAGAUAUUGGGAAGAACACCGGUGGCGAAGGCGGCAACCUGGUCCUUGACUGACGCUGAGGCGCGAGAGCGUGGGGAGCAAACAGGAUUAGAUACCCCCGUAGUCCCUGUCUCUUAUAC